GACGGGAUUGCCAAGGGGGUUUUGCAGUUUAUCUCUGUCAGGUCGGAUUGCACAGUUCCCGGUUGAAAGCACCGCAGAUUCAAGAGAGAGCAGGCUUUAACAACAAGGGAACUAAACUAAAUUAAUAAAACCAAAAUAUCAAAAUUACGACAAAAGUAGAAACAAACUAUGAACUAUAGUCUUUAUGAACUAGUUGUACAACGUUGGCAAUAAUUGUAACUUCGAAACGAUCAGCAGCAGCGAGCAAAGCUGUGGUUCAAAACAUUUCAAGCUAGGAGAGAGCGGAACCGAUUACGGCACCAUUUGUGCAUUGGUGCACUUUAAAAAAGUGACACGUCUUUGUUACGUGAACGUACAGUUUCAGCCAGAAUCGCAGGUAUGCAGAUUGCACAACGAAUAACUUGUCUGAUGUUGUAACCUUCCCAAAAUCAAGAUUUGAGUAGAACUAAGAUUCCUGAAAAAAUAUAUAUUAAAAGAAGAAAACCUUCCGAAAAGAAAAAUGUGUGGUUCUCUCCAAAGGUUGUUCAUAACAUUUUCGUGUGUUAUUUUUUUUUGUAUAUUUGGUAAAUUUACACCAUAGGAAAACACAAACUUUUUGACUCCAUUUAAGCAGCAAUAAUUUUAAAACCUAUAAAUGAUCAUGCUAUUUUGUUCAUGAAAAAAACAACAAAGGCUUUUAUUGAUAGAACGCGAUCAGAUUAGAAAUAAAUCAAAUAAACUCG
Molecule: long non-coding RNA, 722 nt
Organism: Wyeomyia smithii (pitcher-plant mosquito)
Lineage: Eukaryota; Metazoa; Arthropoda; Insecta; Diptera; Culicidae
Exons: 3
Source: RefSeq, a predicted model, not a curated record